GGAGGGGGCGGAGUUAGGGGAGGGACGCGCUGAUGACGCGAGGCACGCGCUGGGGGGGCUAGUACGCAGGCGCAGAAGACAUGGCGGCGGCGGUGGGGAGUAGUCGCUGCAGCGGCGCUGAAACGAUCUCCGCGGAGUCUAUGGUUGGAGGGGCUGGGCCUGAGGCGUGCACAAUGCUGCUGAGCUAGAAAGCUUGUGGCUUCCCAGUCUCUGCGCUGGUCACAUGGAAGCGCUCAUGCUAUGGAAAGUGGAAUUAGUGGGUAAGCUAAAAACCAGACUAGUUCUGGGCUGAAAUGUCUGUUCUUCUCCACACCCCAACCCUGCU
RNAcentral lists this long non-coding RNA (325 nucleotides) under Chrysemys picta bellii (western painted turtle). RNAcentral describes it as "lncRNA (ENSCPBG00000015325.1)". The record is from RNAcentral. Lineage: Eukaryota; Metazoa; Chordata; Testudines; Emydidae.